AAAAAACGAGGAGCAUCUAUAAUAUUUCGAAUAGAACCAUUCUUUUUAGUUUUGUCGACAGCUUUUUAAGUCUAUCAAAUAAUUAUCAAUUAGGAAGUGGCAUGUUCUAUCAUACUACUUUUAAUAUAAACUUUGUUUCUGUUUUUCUUCUUUUAAAGACUAGAGAAAGUCAUUUUCAUUUUAAAGGUAGUUGUGAACUAUUGGUUGCUUUAAAUCACCUAAGGUAUCAUGAAUAAUCAAGGGAGAAAUUAGGGUAAAUAAAGACAUGAGAUUUGAAAAUGGGUUUGCCCAAAAAAAAAAAUGAUGUUUGAAAAUAAGACGAAGACGAAGACAUUAGGUAAAUUAUUUUUUUGCAUCAUGGAACUCUCUAUUCUAAAAAUGACUGAAUUGAUAAGAUAAAAGAAAAAAACAAUAAUAUUAAUCAA
This 425-nucleotide long non-coding RNA is filed under the name Capsella rubella. Its description in RNAcentral is "long non-coding RNA (CRUB_LNC004745)". Lineage: Eukaryota; Viridiplantae; Streptophyta; Magnoliopsida; Brassicales; Brassicaceae. The record is from RNAcentral.